AUCCGAUUGACGAGUCCCAAAUAGGACGAAACAAAUAUCAAAUUGGAU
This 48-nucleotide non-coding RNA is filed under the name Schistosoma mattheei. The record is from RNAcentral. Lineage: Eukaryota; Metazoa; Platyhelminthes; Trematoda; Strigeidida; Schistosomatidae.